RNAcentral lists this RNase P RNA (388 nucleotides) under uncultured Bartonella sp. Its description in RNAcentral is "Bacterial RNase P class A". It matches the Rfam family "Bacterial RNase P class A". Rfam says of the family: Ribonuclease P (RNase P) is a ubiquitous endoribonuclease, found in archaea, bacteria and eukarya as well as chloroplasts and mitochondria. The record is from RNAcentral. Lineage: Bacteria; Pseudomonadati; Pseudomonadota; Alphaproteobacteria; Hyphomicrobiales; Bartonellaceae.
AGUUGGUCGGGCAGCCGCGCCUUCUCAAUACCGAAAGGUGAAAGGUGAGGAAAGUCCGGGCUCCAUGGAAUAACGGUGCCGGAUAACGUCCGGCGAGGGCAACCUCAGGGAAAGUGCCACAGAAACAAACCGCCUGUUUUAAACGGGUAAGGGUGAAAAGGCGGAGUAAGAGCCCACCGCACAUCCAGUAAUGGAUGUGGCAAGGUAAACCCCACCGGGAGCAAGACCGAAUAGGAGUGACACGCAAGCGUUGCUUGCAGCCGGUUCCGGGCCUGUCAUUCGGGUAGGUUGCACGAGGCGGGUGGUAACAUCCGUCCCAGAUGAAUGGCUGCCACGUGGAAUUUUAACUAAAAGUCCGCCAUACAGAACCCGGCUUAUAGACCAACUG